CGAACUGAGAGUACGAGCAAAAAGCCAUAUUCUCACUAAAACUGUGCAAAACGGACAGCAAGAAGAAACCAGUGUAUAAACACUCAUAGAACGUACCUGGUACUGGUAUGAAAAACUUCUGUUUAUUACCAACUUUCAAUUUCACACAAGAUGUGUAACUUCCGCUCCGCAUUGAAAUAAAAUCCAUCAUUCGAUAACUUCGAUGGCUUACAAUUUCAAGCAAUCCUUACGAUUGGACAUUAUUUAUUUUAUUCUAUUCCAAAAUAAGAAAUCAGAUUUUUUGAUGAGUCGCUUUUUCUGUUUUCUCUCUUUUUUUGCAUUGUGUUUGAGAAACUUUGGGACUCCUGUGUGCACUGCCGGUCACGUGGAAGCACCAUGAAAAACAUCCCGAGAUCGCAAGCCGAAGCGAGUUAAAAGGAAUUUUAUGCGUUUGUAGAGGAACAAGCAUUGAUAAAAAACGAUGCCUAUCAAGUACUUUCCCAAGCUGAGCGUUGUUUCGAAGUGGGAGCGUCGGCCAAAGCCAAAUUUCCUUUCCAAUUCAGCUGUUGAUGUCACAGUUAGCCCAAGUUUGAAAGACUGGUCAUGCAGGCUGGCCCAGACGCGAGACGUACUCUGGUGGCCCUGCGAGGAUCGCAACGAGGAGCGCCAGAGGGACGAACGGUUCUACAAAAGAUAAGGUUGGUUUGACGCGCGACAGGGUGUUGACAUUUUCAAGUGACGCGAGCGCGAUGUUGUAACGUAAUGAGAGCGGUGGAAAGUACGCAAAAGGUCACGACGAGAAGAAAAGACGGAAGCUUCAGGGGUGUUGGUCAAGUCUGCUUGCCCUUGCAUGGUCGGGGAGUGACGAGAGAUGGACUGGUUACCCGCAGCAUUCGUCCCGACGUUAAUGCAAGAGAUUGUUUGAGUGUGGGGUCUUAGUUUUGCCUUCAGUAUUGCAUUUGUUUCUACAUUUACCGCACGGUAAAUGUCAAGUUCCGACGGUUACAAGUGUCAAACGCUUUAGAGUAAUCGGCUAAUACCAUCAAAGUUAUUUCGCCGCGUUUCAUAGCUCGAAUUAGUUCGUCCUUGAUGCCUAGUAGGGCCGUGGUCGUUGAGUGACCCUUCCGAAAUCCAGACAUGUUGUCUACAAAGAGCUUGAAGUGGUCAAUAAAAGAAACGACUUGUUCAAGAACGAGUCUCUCAGUCUCUCAAAUACCUUCGACAGAGCUGCUAUGGUCUUGUAGGUUUUCAAUAAGUUCAUUCGUUGUUAUCAUCCUGGGUACAUAGAGUACGCUAAGCUGUCGUGUUAGAGAAAUUGUUCAGACUUUCCGGAUCAGUUCUUAAAGGGUUGAGAUUAGAAUAGAGAAUACGAUGAAUGGUUUUCCAUAUUUUGUUUGGGGCGUUUUGAUGAGAGUUGAUGAGAGUACAGAUUCAAGCGAAAGAUCAUUUUCUUACCUUGCCGACCGCCAACUUGAGGGGGCUUCGUACAGCUAAAAGCAGCCCAAUCAUCGGCAUUGUUGGUUUGAUGGGCUUUCUUUCGCAACUCGUCCCGUUUUCGUUGCUCUUCUCUUGUUGAUGUGUCAGCCAUCCAUGGAGCAGGGGUGUAUCACCGCUUAAUGUAACAACUGCCGCUUAAUGUAACACUAACGCUUAAUGUAACAACAAAUCAACGCUUAAUGUAAUAUAACGGACUUAACGCAUAAUGUAAGAACACUCGACGCUUAUGUAAUAACCAUAUAAAUUUAACUAAGGACGAAAAUACUCAUAUCUCGGAUAGAAACAUCGUCGGACAGACACACUUAGAAAAUGUCAUGUAGGUGUCAAGGGGGUUGCAUAAAUAGUCAUGUGAGGUGUGACGUCAUCGAUGACGUCAUUAACACGAAAAUACUCAUAUCUCGGGAUAGAAACAUCGGGCAACCACACUUGGAAAAUGUCAUGUAGGUGUCAAGGGGGUAGUCAUGUGAUAUGUGAUGUCACCGAAGAAGUAGUUAUGAACAUCACUUCAAUGGCAAGACCACUGGAUGAGCCAUGCGUUUUUACCAGCCUCCGGACACUCACGUAUCGCCCGAGAAUUGUGCCACUGUAUCUGGCACUGCUUUACUAAAUGUCGUGAUUCAAGUGCGAGAAGACAGCUAAUAAUCUUCGAUUUUUGCAAGACAGUGUAUAGCUGGUGUGGUUGAAAACUUGUCAAUCAACAAUCAACUCCGUAUGCCUGUACGGAUGUAGUCACACAUUUCAACAAUCGUUAGGUUUCCGCCCUGGUAUAAAUUUGUUUUAAAUGACAAUCAAGUAAGGACCGAUCAGAGGUUUUUUUUUUAUUCUACCCGCGCUGUGCAAUUAAACAUAAAACAAAAAAGGCGACAUUUGUCGGUAACAAAUUUAACCUAAUUUCGUCGGAUAAUUUUAGGGGAAGUAGUUUUUGAAUCGCAAUCGUUCAUCGACUCGCAAUUGUCGGACAUACUUGGCUAGUUUAAUUCUCGAGUGCUUGGUUCUUUCCGGAUCGUCAAAUGUUCCUUCAAAAUGAUCGGCUCGCAAAAGACAUAACCCCAACGUGCUCUUAGCAUGUAAUACCUUGUCUGUUUAGCGUUUUUUUUAAAGAUGAUCAAAAUGGAAAGGCCUUCUAAGACACCUCAAUCACGUUAUUCAUUCUCAAUUUAAGAGGAAAUCUUACAAGGUUUAACAGGAAGUUUGCCGGUGAACAGAUUUUCUAAAGGGCCCUAAGGGACGACAGAUCAUCGGAUGAUUUUGACCUCAAGAAAACUUGUCCUAAGUUUGGUCGUGUCCCAACUCUCGUAGCUCAAGAUAUAAUUUUUCCUAGUUAUGAUGACGUAAUAAAUGACGUCAUGUCACGUGUCCAUUUUGCUGGACCCCCUUUGACCUCAAGACAACUUGGCCUAAGUUUGGUCGUGUCACAACUCUCGUAGCUCAAGAUAGGAUUUUGCUAGUUAUGAUGACGUAAUUAAUGACGUCAUAUCACGUGUCCAUUUUGUUGACCCCCCCCCUUGACCUCAAGACAACUUGUCCUAAGUUUGGUCGUGUCACAACUCUCGUAGCUCAGGAUAUGAUUUUCCUAGUUAUGAUGACGUCAUUAAUGACCGUAAUUUCACGUGUUCCUUUUGUUGACCCCCCCUUGACCUCAAGACAACUUGUCCUAAGUUUGAUCGUGCCACAACUCCCUUAGCUCAAGAUAUUGAUAUUCGUAUUUGUGAUGACAUCAUUGAUGAUGCAACGCUAAAUGACCCCCCGUUACACCCUUAUAACGCUAAGACGACUUUUCCCAAAGUUGGGGUGUCUUGCGAAUUGUUCUUUCAAAAUCUAUCCAAAUUCUAUAUCCAAAUUCAUGGUUAUUACAUUAAGCUUCGAGUGUUCUUACAUUAAACGUUAAGCCCAUUAUUACAUUAAGCGUUGAAAAUUUGUUACAUUUAGCGUUUUAACGCUAAAACAGUUAAAACUGUUUUAUUACAUUAAGCGUUGAUUUGUUGUUACAUUAAGCGUUAGUGUUACAUUAAGCGGCGAUUUUUGUUACAUUAAGCGUUAGUGUUACAUUAAGCGGCAGUUGUUACAUUAAGCGGUGAUACAAGGGGGCGUGUUACUUUAACCCUGUUUAUUAGUAGGUGCGUGCCUAUCAAUUCGAUCUUAAGGCCGGCGCACACGGUGAGCCAUACGCAUGCACUUUGCUCACUGUCUCGCAAGCAGAAACUCGCGGUUCAAGCAGGAUAGAAUUUUGCCUCAGUUGCUCGCGAGACGUAAUUUGGUUCGAUCGACGUCCGCACACGGUGAGUUUUUGGCCUCGCGAGGCAGUGAGCAAAUUGCACGCUUGAAGUUUUGCUUACCAUGUGCGCCGGGCUUAACAGAAGGGUAUACACUUCUCAACCAUGUCGUCGGUGGAAUAAACGCCAUACACAUAAUGUCAAGUGGAAGAGAAUCCGCAUCCGCUUUAAAUUUUUCCUCAUCAAAGUUCCUCUCGUUACGGAUAUAUUUGUAGCGAGGGGGAAAACCUUUUGACACGUAUAUUAACUGUUGCAUAAGGAGCGUCAUGGUCGUUUAUUGAUGGGCAAAAGAGCACAUCACAGUGAGCUAUUCUAUUUCGGGACUUUUGUAAUAAGAUGGUCAAUUAGCGACUUUUAGAAUGUUUAGUUAUUCUUGUGGGUUUAAUGACGUGAUUUAUUAAUACCCA
Molecule: long non-coding RNA, 4156 nt
Organism: Nematostella vectensis (starlet sea anemone)
Lineage: Eukaryota; Metazoa; Cnidaria; Anthozoa; Actiniaria; Edwardsiidae
Exons: 3
Source: RefSeq, a predicted model, not a curated record